This 740-nucleotide ribosomal RNA is filed under the name uncultured microorganism. RNAcentral's name for it is "bacterial SSU rRNA". It matches the Rfam family "Bacterial small subunit ribosomal RNA", at positions 57 to 808 of the family's 1533-position model. The record is from RNAcentral.
GCAAGUCGAACGGUGAAGCAGGAGCUUGCUCCUGUGGAUCAGUGGCGAACGGGUGAGUAACACGUGAGCAAUCUGCCCUGGACUCUGGGAUAAGCGUUGGAAACGACGUCUAAUACCGGAUACGAGACGCGAAGGCAUCUUCAGCGUCUGGAAAGAACUUCGGUCCAGGAUGAGCUCGCGGCCUAUCAGGUAGUUGGUGAGGUAAUGGCUCACCAAGCCUACGACGGGUAGCCGGCCUGAGAGGGUGACCGGCCACACUGGGACUGAGACACGGCCCAGACUCCUACGGGAGGCAGCAGUGGGGAAUAUUGCACAAUGGGCGCAAGCCUGAUGCAGCAACGCCGCGUGAGGGACGACGGCCUUCGGGUUGUAAACCUCUUUCAGCAGGGAAGAAGCGAAAGUGACGGUACCUGCAGAAAAAGCACCGGCUAACUACGUGCCAGCAGCCGCGGUAAUACGUAGGGUGCAAGCGUUAUCCGGAAUUAUUGGGCGUAAAGAGCUCGUAGGCGGUUUGUCGCGUCUGCUGUGAAAACCCGAGGCUCAACCUCGGGCCUGCAGUGGGUACGGGCAGACUAGAGUGCGGUAGGGGAGAUUGGAAUUCCUGGUGUAGCGGCGGAAUGCGCAGAUAUCAGGAGGAACACCGAUGGCGAAGGCAGAUCUCUGGGCCGUAACUGACGCUGAGGAGCGAAAGCAUGGGGAGCGAACAGGAUUAGAUACCCUGGUAGUCCAUGCCGUAAACG